Myodes glareolus (Bank vole) is the source of this 1340-nucleotide non-coding RNA. The record is from RefSeq and is a predicted model, not a curated record. Lineage: Eukaryota; Metazoa; Chordata; Mammalia; Rodentia; Cricetidae.
UCUAGCCUCCCGGGCGGCGGUUCUCAGUGCUCGGCGCCCUGCGAAUGCUCGGCGCCCUGCGAAUGCUCGGCGCCCAGCGAAUGCUCGGCGCCCUGCAAACGCACAGCUGUGCAGCCCUAAUCCUGGGAGGACGGGGUGAACGGCGGGGGCCUCUCACGACACGCCUCGGGUGGCUUCGACCCAGACUUGAUUUUGAAGUCUCUAUGUUCAUGGCCAGUGUCAAAGACUGGUGGGCAGAAAGAACAAGAGUAAAGUAUACCUGUUGAUGGCCUCUUCUACUGUGAAUCUGCUGUGGGAUAAUCUUUUGUAUACUGUGAAGAUUUGUCACUCAGAUUGGUCUGAUUAAACCUGAUUGGCUGGUAGCCAAGCAGGAAUUAUGGAGGGACAACCAAACUAGAAGGAUGAUGGGAAGAAGAAGCGCAAAGUCAGAGGGGAAGUCAGUCAGCUGCCGAGGGAGCAGGAUGUGUAGAAAAUGAGAUUUCUACUUGGUUGACAGAUACACUGUCCAGGGAGUGCAUGCAAGUGUCAAGCUGCUGAGUUCUGGACUUGCUGAAAGCUGAUCUGAACCAGUCCAGCUGAUGUGAUUGCUCCCCUUUCCUUCACCUGGAUCAGCUAACGGGAUGCUUCUGAUAAAUACCCCAUGGCCCAGCCUUAACCAGUCUUUCAGCCUUCUUGGACCCUGACAAUUGAUGCCCUAAUUCAGCUGGAAGCAGCUGUAGAAGAAAGUACAUCGUCCCUGUACCCAUGACAUGCUGAGAAAGGCUGAAUCCAAACAAAACUCCCUGACAAAUUUGAUAAUGGGAACGGUGGGGCCUUUCGUUGCAGUUCUACUAAUCAUAAUAUGUGCACCCUACUGUUGAACUCUAUCUCUCACUUCAUUCAUAGGAGGAUCAAUGUGCUUAAGCUCCUAGUCCUGCAGACCCAAUAUGGUCCCUCACAGAACCCGGACCCCUGACAUCAAUGAUUUGAUGACCUACUAGAAGAGGGGGAAAGUUAGAUCCUAGUUAUCAGUAUUUUGUCCAUUCUGCCCUGAGCUGCUACCCACAAUUUUCUGAGGUUACUCACACAGGUGUUAACCAUGAACAUUCCACUCCCUUCUGAUUGGUUGGCCCAGAGCCCGUUCAAAUCACCAAACCACAGAACUCCCUGAAAGGCUAAAAGGGUAUCACUGUGGAAAGUUCCUAAUGGCUUCUCCAUAUUACAUUAAGAUUGGAGCUGUCUCUUUGUGGUUUUCCCCUUUAAAACUGGUGGAUGCCCUGCCUUGGUGGUACAGUUUGUAGCCCAAAUCCUGUUGCCUCUCUGAUAUCAGUUUUUCUAAGUAAAUUUUUGGUUGGCUCAAA